CCUACGGGAGGCAGCAGUGAGGAAUAUUGGUCAAUGGGCGAGAGCCUGAACCAGCCAAGUCGCGUGAAGGAUGACGGCCCUACGGGUUGUAAACUUCUUUUGUCAGGGAGCAAUUGAGUCCACGUGUGGGCUUAGCGAGAGUACCUGAAGAAAAAGCAUCGGCUAAUACCGUGCCAGCAGCCGGGGUAAUACGGGGGAUGCGAGCGUUAUCCGGUUUUAUUGGGUUUAAAGGGGGCGUAGGCGGAAUAUCAAGUCAGCGGUAAAAAUUCGGGGCUCAACACCGUCGUGCCGUUGAAACUGGUGUUCUUGAGUGUGCGAGAAGCAUGCGGAAGGCGUGGUGUAGCGGUGAAAUGCAUAGAUAUCACGCAGAACUCCGAUUGCGAAGGCAGCAUACCGGCGCCCAACUGACGCUGAAGCACGAAAGCGUGGGGAUCGAACAGGAUUAGAUACCCGAGUAGUC
Molecule: ribosomal RNA, 460 nt
Filed under: uncultured bacterium
Lineage: Bacteria
Description: partial 16S ribosomal RNA
Rfam family: Bacterial small subunit ribosomal RNA
Source: RNAcentral